AGCCGCAGGCGGAACUCGCUCGGCUCGUCACCCCUUCACCCGGUGCGCCUGGGCCGUGUCCGGGCCCACGCCGGACCCGCCGGACCCUCGAUCUUGCGCGUGGCCCCGCACCCAGCCCUCCCCGGAGCUCAGGUGCACUGGGCUGGGAGACACCGCUGGGCUGCGCGGCGUGGGAGGAGCCCGCAGAGGGCGUGGUGGGGACCCGGUGGCAGGAGGAACAGCAUCAGCCCUGGUCGCACCACUUUCCCCGCUCCCCCCACCCAGGUAGAGAAGGCAGGGGCUGCAGGACCGGGGCCAGCCACAACCCUCUCCCGCUCCAAGGAGGACAUGGGCGAAGGGAGUUUCAGGUCAUAGGGGCAGCCCCGAGAAAGGGGCCCCAUGGGCAACUCGCGGCCGUCGGUUGUUGCGAGUGCCCCUGAAGUGGCGCGGACCCCACCGCCCGGCGUCUGCCCUGGGUGACAGGAGGGCACCUAGAAGUGAGGGAAGAACUGCCGCCACUCCUGCCGCGCGAUCGGGAGGAGCGCUGCCGGCGCUGCCCGCGUUCUCGCCUCCUUUUAAAAGAACCGCCAAAGUGGUCACCGAAAACGGAGGAGGAAGAGAACGCUCAGCUGCAGCAAAAGAAACCAAUGGGCAGGAGAGAUGAAGAGAAGAAACUUUAACGAAAUUUUAUAAAAAAUGCAUUCAGGCAGCUGCAACCUCGUGGCCCCCGCCGCAGCCUGGACCUUGGGGAACCAGCAGCCCAGAGCCAGGAAGCCCCAGCAUUCAGGGCCCAGACAGACCCCAAAAUCCCAGACCAGAGGCAGGCAAGGAUGGUGCGAGGAGGAGCCCAGGACCCACACGCCAGGGCCAGGGCCAGCGCCGGCUCCCAGUGGGUGCCUCCUUCCAAGGCUGGAGAGGAGACAGAUGGAGGGCUCCCCAGGUCGGAGCAACCCCUACAGGCCGGGCAGGUGGAGGGAAGGGUGCAGGUCAUGGAGACCUCCCCUCAGCCUGGAACUGGUUUCUCCUCUGCCUUUCCGCCUGUGGGUGUCCCUGUGCUCUGGUAACACCCCAGGCACCAGCUGUGCCCUCACCAGGCUACCUGCCCGCCCCUUCCUUCCGCCAUCUCCAUCAGUGGGGCUGCUUCAGAGCCACGGCCCUUCUGGGGCUCCAGGGGAGGAUGCACCCGCAGCAUGCUCUGCACUGAGGAGCAGGCAGUGGGCGCUGAUGCCACCUGUCCUGCCGACAGCUCCUCACCCAGCAAGGCCGACCCAGCCCUGGGUGAAAGAGGAGCCAGUGAGGUAGACUGGGGAGAGGCUGCACCUUCACCCACGCCUGCCCACAGCAUGGCCCGUCCACUUCCUGCACGGGCACUGGGAUCUGCUUUCCAUGGAGCCCCACGGCCAUAACCAGCCCGGUCCUGGGAGAGGACAGCCUGGGUGGUGGUGUGUCUGCAGACACAAAGAUCUGGGCCCAGGGCCCAGGAAGUGACUGGCUCAGCCUGGAGUCUCCCCCAGCACUAGAAGCAGAGCUGCCAAGGGCUGCCGCUAUGGAGAACAUGGGAUUUGAGGAAGGCAGGAGUCCUUUCCCUCAUACUUUGUGAGUAGGCAGAUGUGCCAGGAGAGAUGGAGUAAGAUAAGGAAUGUGCGUUUAGCUUUAAUGUCUAUUAAAUAGGUUGGGAAAAACAGGCCAAGUGUAGGGACCUGACUCCUGCAAAGGGCCUACCACAGCCCUCUGCACUCAAGCAGCAGCCCCAUCCAGACCAGGAGCGUUCUGUUCUCCUGGCAGACAGGGCUGACAGGUGUAGGAUGGCGUCUGUUUCCUUUGGAGUGUGGGCUGGUCAGAGGAGAAACAGCAACUUCCUGCUCCUUCUCACUGUGUCGUUGGUUCACCGUAGACCACGUCCUGCAUUCCCUCUGAUUCUCUCAUGGGGAGAGCCCUGGACCUUCUGGUGGUGUCCCAGCUGGGUGGGUUCAAGGCUGCCACCCCGCUUGGGGCAGCUGGCCUGCAGGGAAGGGCCAGACGGCACCUCUCAGUGGAGACUGAAUCUUCCUUCCUUCAGGAGGCUGCCUCCACGGAAGACCUGGGGUCCUUCCUGUGCUCAGCGCUGGCUGGCUGUCCUGUUCAUGCAGUGGAAGACAUUACAGAAGAAUUCAUACCAGAAGAACAUGAAGCCCGUGGAGAGGGCAGCCUUCAGCAAGCUGGGGGACAGGCCCUUGAAGAAGCCCAGGGCGCCUUCCUUUUGCAGCACCUGCUUGGCACAGUCCAUGAGGCCCUUGUAUCUCCGCACCUGCGGAGAGGAAAGGGAUGAAAAUAUGGAUGCCCGCUCUGCUCCCAUUAACACAGCCCCUGGCACAUCACAGCUCUGAAGAAGUACUUGCUGGACAAAGAAAUGAAUGCAAAAUAGCAAAUUAUUUUAUUUUAUUUUUUCGUUGAGGCAGAGUCUCACUCUGUUGCCCAGGCUGGAAUGCAGUGGCACAAUCUUGGCUCAUUGCAGCCUCUGCCUCCCAGGUUCAAGUGAUUCUCCUGCCUCAGCCUCCUGAGUAGCUGG
RNAcentral lists this non-coding RNA (2527 nucleotides) under Pongo abelii (Sumatran orangutan). The record is from RNAcentral. Lineage: Eukaryota; Metazoa; Chordata; Mammalia; Primates; Hominidae.